UACGUAGGGGGCAAGCGUUGUCCGGAUUUAUUGGGCGUAAAGCGCUCGCAGGCGGCUUGCUACGUCAUGCGUGAAACACCCCGGCCUCAACUGGGGAGGGUCGUGUGAUACGGGCAGACUAGAGUGCGGUAGGGGAGACUGGAAUUCCUGGUGUAGCGGUGGAAUGCGCAGAUAUCAGGAGGAACACCGAUGGCGAAGGCAGGUCUCUGGGCCGCAACUGACGCUGAGGAGCGAAAGCAUGGGGAGCGAACAGG
Molecule: ribosomal RNA, 254 nt
Filed under: uncultured bacterium
Lineage: Bacteria
Description: partial 16S ribosomal RNA
Rfam family: Bacterial small subunit ribosomal RNA
Source: RNAcentral